RNAcentral lists this ribosomal RNA (435 nucleotides) under uncultured bacterium. Its description in RNAcentral is "bacterial SSU rRNA". It matches the Rfam family "Bacterial small subunit ribosomal RNA", at positions 346 to 793 of the family's 1533-position model. The record is from RNAcentral.
AGGCAGCAGUGGGGAAUAUUGCGCAAUGGGCGAAAGCCUGACGCAGCGACGCCGCGUGGGGGAUGAAGGCCUUCGGGUUGUAAACCUCUUUCAGCGCCGAAGAAGCGAGAGUGACGGUAGGCGCAGAAGAAGCACCGGCUAACUACGUGCCAGCAGCCGCGGUAAUACGUAGGGUGCGAGCGUUGUCCGGAAUUAUUGGGCGUAAAGAGCUCGUAGGCGGCUUGUCGCGUCGGAUGUGAAAGCCCGGGGCUCAACUCCGGGUCUGCAUUCGAUACGGGCAGGCUAGAGUUCGGUAGGGGAGACUGGAAUUCCUGGUGUAGCGGUGAAAUGCGCAGAUAUCAGGAGGAACACCGGUGGCGAAGGCGGGUCUCUGGGCCGAUACUGACGCUGAGGAGCGAAAGCGUGGGGAGCAAACAGGAUUAGAUACCCUGGUAG